This is a long non-coding RNA of Haemorhous mexicanus (house finch), 590 nucleotides long. RefSeq lists it as uncharacterized. The record is from RefSeq and is a predicted model, not a curated record. The transcript is spliced from 2 exons. Lineage: Eukaryota; Metazoa; Chordata; Aves; Passeriformes; Fringillidae.
GCGCUGUGGGAGGAGAGGCCGGGCCGGGCCGCACCCGCCGCGGCCGCGGCCCGCAAGGGGUCCCGGAUGUGUCCGACUCGGGUGUCCCGGGCCACAGCAGGAUGUGCCGAAACCAGCAGGGCCCCUACGGCCUAGAAACCCAGUGAUAUCCUGAGGUACAUUGCCAACAGGGAGACAUCUGCUGAUAACAGGCUACUGAAUGUCACUGCAUGACUGAUAAGAACUAUAGCAUUCCAUUGGGAGAUGCUCUGCCCAGAGGGAGGAGCCAAGCAUUCCUACCUGGAUAUAGUCUUGAGCUUCUGGAACACAAGCAUGGCUUCUCCACUGGAUUUCCCAGAGGAACAGCUGUCUCCUCUUCCACUGGAUUUCAGAGGAAGACUACACGCUUCUACAGGAUCCCUGCUCCUGAACCACACCUGACACUCCAGGAGGACUGCAGCCACAACUCCAAUUGGACUGCUACCAGCACCCUGACCAGCAGGUGUCAGCUUGUAUUCUGACUCUGUCAGUGUUAUUUUGGUUUACUGAAUUGUUUAUUUUAUCUUUUUAUUUUCUUCCCUAAUAAAGAACUGUUAUUUCCUGCUCCCAUA